Molecule: ribosomal RNA, 530 nt
Filed under: uncultured bacterium
Lineage: Bacteria
Description: bacterial SSU rRNA
Rfam family: Bacterial small subunit ribosomal RNA
Source: RNAcentral
CGGCGGACGGCUGAGUAACGCGUAGGAAUUUGCCCCUUUGUGUGGAAUAGCUCACCGAAAGGUGUGGUAAUACCGCAUGGUCACGAGACUUUUGUUUCGUGUAAAGGACGUAACUGUUCGCAAAGGGAUAAGCCUGCGUCCUAUCAGGUAGUUGGUGAGGUAAAAGCUCACCAAGCCAAUGACGGGUAGCUGGUCUCAUGAGGACGACCAGCCAGAGGGGGACUGAGACACGGCCCCCACUCCUACGGGAGGCAGCAAUUAGGAAUAGUCGGCAAUGGGCGAAAGCCUGACCGCGCGACACCGCGUGUAGGAUGAAGGUCUAACGAUCGUAAACUACUGUGGCAUAGGAAGAAGAGCGUAAGCUUUGACGGUACUAUGCUAGAAAGGGGCCGCUAACUGCGUGCCAGAAGCGUCGGUAAGACGUGGGCCCCAAGCGUUAUCCGGUGUAACUGGGCAUAAAGUGUCACGUAGGCGGCUACGUAAGUUACCUUUUAAAUUUCACGGCUCAACUGUGAAACUGGGGGUAAUAC